ACAUGCAUACAACUUAGUGUUAAUGCAUCAGAUUCCAUUAAAACUCCUUUGUUAAGCGUACUUUGGCUAGAGUAGUACUAGGAUGGGUGACCGCCCGGGAAGUUCUAGUAUUUUACAUGUC
This is a non-coding RNA of Picea glauca (white spruce), 121 nucleotides long. The record is from Rfam. NCBI's taxonomy places the organism in Eukaryota, Viridiplantae, Streptophyta, Pinopsida, Pinales, Pinaceae.